AGGGUGCAAGCGUUAAUCGGAAUUACUGGGCGUAAAGCGCACGCAGGCGGUUGAUUAAGUCAGAUGUGAAAUCCCCGAGCUUAACUUGGGAACUGCAUUUGAAACUGGUCAGCUAGAGUCUUGUAGAGGGGGGUAGAAUUCCAGGUGUAGCGGUGAAAUGCGUAGAGAUCUGGAGGAAUACCGGUGGCGAAGGCGGCCCCCUGGACAAAGACUGACGCUCAGGUGCGAAAGCGUGGGGAGCAAA
RNAcentral lists this ribosomal RNA (244 nucleotides) under uncultured bacterium. Its description in RNAcentral is "partial 16S ribosomal RNA". It matches the Rfam family "Bacterial small subunit ribosomal RNA", at positions 529 to 772 of the family's 1533-position model. The record is from RNAcentral.